CAACAGGGAUUGCCCUAGUAACGGCGAGUGAAGCGGCAACAGCUCAAAUUUGAAAUCUGGCGUCUUCGGCGUCCGAGUUGUAAUUUGCAGAGGGCGCUUUGGCAUUGGCAGCGGUCCAAGUUCCUUGGAACAGGACGUCACAGAGGGUGAGAAUCCCGUACGUGGUCGCUAGCCUUUACCGUGUAAAGCCCCUUCGACGAGUCGAGUUGUUUGGGAAUGCAGCUCUAAAUGGGAGGUAAAUUUCUUCUAAAGCUAAAUACUGGCCAGAGACCGAUAGCGCACAAGUAGAGUGAUCGAAAGAUGAAAAGCACUUUGGAAAGAGAGUUAAAAAGCACGUGAAAUUGUUGAAAGGGAAGCGCUUGCAGCCAGACUUGCCUGUAGUUGCUCAUCCGGGUUUCUACCCGGUGCACUCUUCUAUAGGCAGGCCAGCAUCAGUUUGGGCGGUUGGAUAAAGGUCUCUGUCAUGUACCUCUCUUCGGGGAGAACUUAUAGGGGAGACGACAUGCAACCAGCCUGGACUGAGGUCCGCGCAUCUGCUAGGAUGCUGGCGUAAUGGCUGUAAGCGGCCCGUCUUGAAACACGGACCAAGGAGUCUAACAUCUAUGCGAGUGUUUGGGUGUCAAGCCCGAGCGCGUAAUGAAAGUGAACGGAGGUGGGAACCUUUCGGGGUGCACCAUCGACCGAUCCUGAUGUCUUCGGAUGGAUUUGAGUAAGAGCAUAGCUGUUGGGACCCGAAAGAUGGUGAACUAUGCUUGAAUAGGGUGAAGCCAGAGGAAACUCUGGUGGAGGCUCGCAGCGGUUCUGACGUGCAAAUCGAUCGUCAAAUUUGGGCAUAGGGGCGAAAGACUAAU
This 851-nucleotide ribosomal RNA is filed under the name Phoma sp. PHY-29. Its description in RNAcentral is "eukaryotic LSU rRNA". It matches the Rfam family "Eukaryotic large subunit ribosomal RNA", at positions 66 to 935 of the family's 3401-position model. The record is from RNAcentral. Lineage: Eukaryota; Fungi; Ascomycota; Dothideomycetes; Pleosporales; Didymellaceae.